This 253-nucleotide ribosomal RNA is filed under the name uncultured bacterium. RNAcentral's name for it is "partial 16S ribosomal RNA". It matches the Rfam family "Bacterial small subunit ribosomal RNA", at positions 524 to 776 of the family's 1533-position model. The record is from RNAcentral.
UACGGAGGGAGCUAGCGUUGUUCGGAAUUACUGGGCGUAAAGCGCACGUAGGCGGCGAUUCAAGUCAGAGGUGAAAGCCCGGGGCUCAACCCCGGAACUGCCUUUGAAACUAGAUUGCUAGAAUCCUGGAGAGGUGAGUGGAAUUCCGAGUGUAGAGGUGAAAUUCGUAGAUAUUCGCAAGAACACCAGUGGCGAAGGCGGCUCACUGGCCCGGUACUGACGCUGAGGUGCGAAAGCGUGGGGAGCAAACAGG